AUACGGAGGAUCCGAGCGUUAUCCGGAUUUAUUGGGUUUAAAGGGAGCGUAGGUGGACAGUUAAGUCAGUUGUGAAAGUUUGCGGCUCAACCGUAAAAUUGCAGUUGAUACUGGCUGUCUUGAGUACAGUAGAGGUGGGCGGGAUUGGUGGUGGAGCGGGGGAAUGCUUAGAUAUCACGAAGAACUCCGAUUGCGAAGGCAGCUCACUGGACUGCAACUGACACUGAUGCUCGAAAGUGUGGGUAUCAAACAGGAUUAGAUACCCUGGUAGUCCACACAGUAAACGAUGAAUACUCGCUGUUUGCGAUAUACAGUAAGCGGCCAAGCGAAAGCAUUAAGUAUUCCACCUGGGGAGUACGCCGGCAACGGUGAAACUCAAAUGAAUUGGCGGGG
This 393-nucleotide ribosomal RNA is filed under the name uncultured bacterium. RNAcentral's name for it is "partial 16S ribosomal RNA". It matches the Rfam family "Bacterial small subunit ribosomal RNA", at positions 523 to 918 of the family's 1533-position model. The record is from RNAcentral.